GGUAUUUUGGAGUGCUCGAUAGUUCUGUGUUUUGAUGAAAUGAAACCCUGCAUUGAUGAUGCUGUAUAUGAAUGGCUAUGGCCGGAUGGAACCACUAAAGGCGAUGUCGAUGAAUAUCUUUUUAUUGAUGUGUUCACUUGCUUCUUCGAAACCUUCACCUCCUCCUUGAAAGAGUGUCAGGCCAUCUACGACUAUCAUCUGACGAACAAACCUUAAG
Amblyraja radiata (thorny skate) is the source of this 217-nucleotide long non-coding RNA. RefSeq lists it as uncharacterized. The transcript has 3 exons. NCBI's taxonomy places the organism in Eukaryota, Metazoa, Chordata, Chondrichthyes, Rajiformes, Rajidae. The record is from RefSeq and is a predicted model, not a curated record.